RNAcentral lists this ribosomal RNA (433 nucleotides) under uncultured bacterium. RNAcentral describes it as "partial 16S ribosomal RNA". It matches the Rfam family "Bacterial small subunit ribosomal RNA", at positions 29 to 507 of the family's 1533-position model. The record is from RNAcentral.
AACGAACGCUGGCGGCAGGCUUAACACAUGCCAGUCAAACGGAUCCUUCGGGAUUAGUGGCAGACGGGUGAGUAACGCGUGGGAACGUACCCUUUGCUACGGAAUAACUCAGGGAAACUUGAGCUAAUACCGUAUGUGCCCUACGGGGGAAAGAUUUAUCGGCAAAGGAUCGGCCCGCGUUGGAUUAGCUAGUUGGUGGGGUAAUGGCCUACCAAGGCGACGAUCCAUAGCUGGUCUGAGAGGAUGAUCAGCCACACUGGGACUGAGACACGGCCCAGACUCCUACGGGAGGCAGCAGUGGGGAAUAUUGGACAAUGGGCGCAAGCCUGAUCCAGCCAUGCCGCGUGAGUGAUGAAGGUCUUAGGAUUGUAAAGCUCUUCCACCGGUGAAGAUAAUGACGGUAGCCGGAGAAGAAGCCCCGGCUAACUUCGUG